This 238-nucleotide unclassified non-coding RNA is filed under the name Hevea brasiliensis (rubber tree). Lineage: Eukaryota; Viridiplantae; Streptophyta; Magnoliopsida; Malpighiales; Euphorbiaceae. The record is from RNAcentral.
GAGAUCCAUCGAUUGAUUGAGCGAGAGAAGGAAUGGCGGCUCCGUCCGGGCUCAAGCAGCGGCGCCAGGAGUUCCCUUCUCUCUCGCUCACCGACCUCUCGCCGUCUCCAUCCGCCCCGCUGCCGCAGGAGGCGACCGGCUCCUUCGGCGCCGAUCCCUUCGGCCGUCCCCAGCUGUCGUUCCGGACACCCGGCGCGGCUGCGCCGGCAGUAGGAUUCGAUCUCCAUGCUACUCAGUU